AGCAGUAGGGAAUCUUCGGCAAUGGACGAAAGUCUUACCGAGCAACGCCGCGUGAGUGAAGAAGGUUUUCGGAUCGUAAAACUCUGUUGUUAGAGAAGAACAAGGACGUUAGUAACUGAACGUCCCCUGACGGUAUCUAACCAGAAAGCCACGGCUAACUACGUGCCAGCAGCCGCGGUAAUACGUAGGUGGCAAGCGUUGUCCGGAUUUAUUGGGCGUAAAGCGAGCGCAGGCGGUUUCUUAAGUCUGAUGUGAAAGCCCCCGGCUCAACCGGGGAGGGUCAUUGGAAACUGGGAGACUUGAGUGCAGAAGAGGAGAGUGGAAUUCCAUGUGUAGCGGUGAAAUGCGUAGAUAUAUGGAGGAACACCAGUGGCGAAGGCGGCUCUCUGGUCUGUAACUGACGCUGAGGCUCGAAAGCGUGGGGAGCAAACAGGAUUAGAUACCCUGGUAGUCCACGCCGUAAACGAUGAGUGCUAAGUGUUGGAGGGUUUCCGCCCUUCAGUGCUGCAGCAAACGCAUAAGCACUCCGCCUGGG
RNAcentral lists this ribosomal RNA (535 nucleotides) under Enterococcus faecalis. RNAcentral describes it as "bacterial SSU rRNA". It matches the Rfam family "Bacterial small subunit ribosomal RNA", at positions 350 to 877 of the family's 1533-position model. The record is from RNAcentral. Lineage: Bacteria; Bacillati; Bacillota; Bacilli; Lactobacillales; Enterococcaceae.